AUGGUUAAGAUCCUGGUCAGUCACGCCUCCAAGCGGUGGUACUCCGCAUGUGGAUUUUGGGGGUGUGACAGUUCGACAUGGGCAGAGGCCCAAGGACAUGAAUAACUCACACAUUAUACGUUAACUAGGGUAUGGUUAAGCUAGGGAAUGAACUGUUAGAUCAGGUGAGCGAAUAGUAAUCUCUCUUAAGUGCCAUUAAUCUUGUAUAAGACCGAGGGCAAAAGUGGUAGAUCUAUCGGGUGUAGCGAGCCCCACUCUUGGGUCCUUGUGUGGCCCAUGUAGUGCUUUUGUUGUUCUAACCGGGUGGACCGGGGGAAAUCCGCUAGGGUU
RNAcentral lists this long non-coding RNA (330 nucleotides) under Helianthus annuus (common sunflower). RNAcentral's name for it is "hypothetical non coding rna". The record is from RNAcentral. Lineage: Eukaryota; Viridiplantae; Streptophyta; Magnoliopsida; Asterales; Asteraceae.